RNAcentral lists this ribosomal RNA (717 nucleotides) under uncultured bacterium. RNAcentral's name for it is "bacterial SSU rRNA". It matches the Rfam family "Bacterial small subunit ribosomal RNA", at positions 94 to 801 of the family's 1533-position model. The record is from RNAcentral.
AGUGGCGAACGGGUGAGUAAUACAUAAAUAAUCUGCCCAUAUGACUGGGAUAACUAUUGGAAACGAUAGCUAAUACCGGAUAGGUUGAUCGGAGGCAUCUCUGAUGAAUUAAAGUAGGAUUUCUACACAAAUGGAUGAGUUUAUGGCGCAUUAGUUAGUUGGUGGGGUAACGGCCUACCAAGACGAUGAUGCGUAGCCGACCUGAGAGGGUGACCGGCCACACUGGGACUGAGACACGGCCCAGACUCCUACGGGAGGCAGCAGUAGGGAAUUUUCGGCAAUGGGCGCAAGCCUGACCGAGCAACGCCGCGUGAGUGAUUAAGGCCUUCGGGUUGUAAAGCUCUGUUGUAAGGGAAGAACAUUCAGGAUAGGAAAUGAUCUCGAACUGACGGUACCUUACCAGAAAGCCACGGCUAACUACAUGCCAGCAGCCGCGGUAAUACGUAGGUGGCAAGCGUUAUCCGGAAUUAUUGGGCGUAAAGGGUGCGUAGGCGGUUUAUUAAGUCUAUGGUGAAAGUGCGGGGCUCAACCCCGUAUGGCCAUAGAAACUGGUAGACUUGAGUGCAGGAGAGGGCAAUGGAAUUCCAUGUGUAGCGGUAAAAUGCGUAGAUAUAUGGAGGAACACCAGUGGCGAAGGCGGUUGCCUGGCCUGUAACUGACGCUGAAGCACGAAAGCGUGGGGAGCGAAUAGGAUUAGAUACCCUAGUAGUCCACGCC